AUGGCAGCAUGCAUUGGAGGCAUGGCCGGAGCACAAAAGACGUGGACGCUCGAGCGAUUGGACGGCACAUGUGCUGAAUGGGAACUGAGGGGUUUAUUUUGCACUUGGUUCCUUUGCGGACUACUACGCUGGGCAAAGAAGUUGCCAACACGAUCGAUGUCAUAAUUUACAAAUAAAUGAGUAUCUUCAUUUAAUUUUUUGUGUCAGCAACUAAGCCGUGCCUAUGUGCGUUUCUAGGCGCAGUGCUUAUUUCAACAAAAGCUCCCGGAAACACGUUGACCCUUAAUGCAUAAAAAAAUAUUGAAAACAGAUUAUCAGCAGCAAUUACAGACGAUUUUAUGAAAUGCAGUACCCAACCAGCCCUGCAAAGUAUCAUACUCAAAACGAACUGAAAAAGUCCUGAAAUGUUGUUUCCAGGACGUCCUGAGGUUGUUAUGAGGCUGGACAACAGGGCUGGAUUAGUGCAAUUCUAGUACCAUUAGAGGACGUCCAGA
Long non-coding RNA from Dermacentor silvarum, 494 nucleotides. RefSeq lists it as uncharacterized. The transcript is spliced from 3 exons. Lineage: Eukaryota; Metazoa; Arthropoda; Arachnida; Ixodida; Ixodidae. The record is from RefSeq and is a predicted model, not a curated record.